GCGCCCGGGCUGCGCGCUCCCUCGCUCGCUCGCGCUCUGUCUCUCUCGCGCGCGCGGGGCGGGAGCCGCGGCGGCUGGUGCGGCUGCGGGCGGAGCAGGGAUGCCGGCGGCGGGAGCCCCGCGCGGAGCGGCGAGCGCGCACGAGUGGAAACUUCAUGUACCUGAGGACCUGGCCUAGCAUUUCCACAGUGAUGAUAAAAAUGCUGAUCAGAACUUUACUUUCAUCUUUCCUCAAUUCAGAAGCCUUCUAAAUAUGCAGUUCAUCAACAUACGGUCCACAUUGGUUUUAUAUGCAACACGGAGGCAAGCAAACAGUGGAGAGCAGCAGUACGUGUGAUGCAGUUAAGCAAGAAUAAAAAAUUAAGCAUGAAAAGACAGAGCAGUUUCUAAAAAAUCAGAUUGUGGACUUCAAAAUAAUACCAUAAAGGCUCAUCAUUUUAAUCAAUUAUUGAUUGCACCGUGGGGACUGUCCACCGAUUCUAGUUGAUGCUGCUUUUAAAAUGAAAUGACAGAAAAUUCCAAGAAAUGGAAGCGGCUGCUAGCAAAAGAAGAAAAGCUGAGUAUCAUCAGGGUUAAUAGCUUCUAUUUAAGAUCAAUGAAUGAUUACAGAAUUACUUUUCUGUAUCGAACUUCCAAGUUUCCUUAAUAAUAUGCUGCCUCUCUGGGACAUAGGUGCACUCAUGGUACGAAGGCUAUUUAUUCAUCACAUGGACUAGAAGAGCUAGAGGAACAAUGGCUUCAAAGGUCUCAUGCUUAUACGUUUUGACAGUAGUUUGUUGGGCAAGCGCUCUUUGGUACUUAAGUAUAACACGUCCUACUUCUUCCUACACUGGCCACAGACAGAUCAGUAGCAUAUCCAUAGCCAGAAAAAACGUUUCCUUUGGCAACAUAAGAACUCGACCUAUAAAUCCACAUUCCUUUGACUUUCUUAUCAAUGAACCCAACAAAUGCGAGAAGAGUGCCCCUUUCUUGGUCAUCCUUAUCAGCACAACUCACAAAGAGUUUGAUGCAAGGCAAGCCAUUCGAGAAACAUGGGGAGAUGAAAACAACUUUAAAGGAAUUAAAAUUGCUACACUAUUUCUUCUUGGAAAAAAUGCAGAUCCUGUGCUAAAUCAAAUGGUAGAGCAAGAAAGCCAAAUUUUUCAUGACAUUAUUGUGGAGGAUUUUAUCGACUCUUAUCAUAACCUCACUCUCAAAACACUGAUGGGGAUGAGGUGGGUAGCAACAUUUUGUUCAAAAGCAAAGUAUGUUAUGAAGACUGACAGUGAUAUUUUUGUAAAUAUGGAUAAUCUUAUUUAUAAGCUGCUUAAACCUAACACCAAGCCAAGGAGAAGGUACUUCACAGGUUAUGUUAUAAACGGAGGACCAAUACGAGAUGUUCGCAGUAAGUGGUACAUGCCAAGAGAUUUGUAUCCUGACAGCAAUUAUCCACCCUUCUGUUCAGGCACUGGCUACAUAUUUUCAGCAGACGUAGCGGAACUGAUUUACAAAACCUCCCUUCACACCAGACUCCUUCAUCUUGAAGAUGUGUAUGUUGGACUCUGUCUUCGGAAGCUGGGUAUUCACCCUUUCCAAAACAGUGGCUUCAAUCAUUGGAAAAUGGCUUACAGCUUGUGCAGGUACCGCAGGGUGAUCACAGUGCACCAGAUAACACCAGAAGAAAUGCACAGAAUUUGGAAUGAUAUGUCCAGCAAGAAACAUCUUAGAUGUUAAGAUUUUUACAGAUGUAAAUACCUUUUUUUUAAAUUAUGGUUUAGUCUGGCUAUUUUUUGACAAAGUGAUCUGCUGAUUUACAGGUUAAACUGUGGGAUAUUAACUGUGAGAUGAUUUUUAAUGACUGAUCUUUCAUUUUCAUUUUGACUAAUGGUUUACAGACUUCAGGCUCUUUUCAUAAGGACAUUACACAACUGAAAGGAUCUAGAGUCAGAGCUCAGAUUUUGUAUAUUAUCCUCUAUCACACAUAUCAUCUCCUGCAUCUGUAAUAAAGGACAGUAAUAAACUAUCAUGAGUGCUAAACAGUUCAUGCCCCAGUCUCUGAGAUAAGACUCAGGCUCUAAGAAAUGAAGAAUUACAGAUGCAGCACUACUCUUUUGAAAGGAACUGCUUGUAAAUAAGGUAAAUUGUACCUGGUCUUCAAGCCACAAACAGCAGGUGUUUCAAACAAUUGUACUUCAGAUCUAAAGGUGAAGCUACACAAAAUAUAGCCCAGGAGUUACUGCUAAUCCUACAGGAGCUUGUGCAUCCUUCAGAAAUGAAAAUCAGUGAUUUUAUAUAAAAAAUACUGAAUCUGUUGCAGCAUAAUUAAGAUUUAUCAUUCCCUAGCUGACCUAGUCCUUGUUAAAGUUGCUCUUGCUUCCUGUCAAACUCAGAACUCUAGCUAAACAAGGUCCAACUAGUUGCAUAGAUUAAUAGAUAACACAUUCAAACACUGAUUGGGUGAAGUUCAGCUUUCCUUACCUGAGCCCCAGAAUAUGCUGUUUAGGAAGGGAAAAUAGGGUGGAAUUGAUCCCUAGCCCUCAGGUAAAUCAGACAGCAAGGAUGCCAUCCUGCAAGGAACACAACUGGUAAUAAUUUCAACCCACAGGAUGCAAUCGCUUCUACCAUCCCUCUGCACUGUGCAGUAAUUUGAGGUUUCUGAAUCCAGAUUCAAAUGGAUUUGGUGGCCUUACUUCUCCUGCUGAUGCUUCUGUGGCCUUUGGUUAGUAACCAAGAGGACAGCAGGGCUCCUAAUCUGGAUAUCUCAGGGCUCAAGCAGCGUGGUAGCCUUGGAUUUCUCUUAGUACGAGUAGACUGCAUUAACGAUUAGAAGGUAUACCUUGAAAACAGCAUCUGAAAAAAUGUCUUUCCUGCCAUUUAUAAAUAGAUCUUCAACAGAAAUGUAAAUUUUCCUCUUGGAACUAAUGUACAUAUUUCCAAGGCAUUUUCUUCUGUAUUCAGCUGUAUAUAUGUGUAGAGUCUGCUUGCUAUGUAGUAUUCUGUUAUGCAUGGAGCUGAGUUAGGCAUUAUAUUUGUCCAGUGUUUCAAGAGCCUUAAGCAUGUGUGCCCUAACUUUUGAAUGUACAAGACUUUUUUCUUUUAUUGUCAAGUGAAUUUAAAAGAACACAACAAAAGCCUAAUUUUUUACUUCUAUUAAUUUUCUGAUACUAGACUUAACUAGCUUGUUACACUUAUGUAACAGAUUUCUUACUCUUUGUUCAGAAAUUGUAGUAUUGCAACCUGGAGCUAGAAAGGGAGCAAUACGUCUAUUCAUAAGGACAGCUUCUGUCCCUUCCACUCAGUAGUAUUUGUGCCACACGGGAUACUGUAAUAAACAAGUGUUUGCACUGGACUUCCUUUAAUCAAAAGAAGUAUUUAUGCUACUUAAAGGUCAUUUUGUUUCAUUGGGCAUGGAGCAAAAGGCAACUUGGUUAAGAUGUUCUGGCUUCUGGUCACUUCAAAAGUGUGACUAUAAUCACAUUGUGAUUCCAAAACAUACAUUGAUAAAGCACAUUGAGCAGAGAAUCUAGGGGGAAAUGCCUCUUUUCAGGAAGAGUUUUACACAAAAGCAUUUUUUUUUUGCUAAAACUGUGAGAGUAUUUGAACAGAAGUCUCAAGGUUCAUUUUCCAUCUUUCCUAAUAAUGUUAAGUAUAAAUUUUGAUUCUUUACUGGGAUAUUUUGUCUUUACAAUGUAGAUGGCAAUGGCAAUUUGUAAAUGAAGAGUGUAAUUAACUAGAAAAGCUUGUCAACAGUAACCGAACUUUAGGUGUAUCAUUAUAUAUGACUGGCUGUACUUAUGUAUUUAUUUGUCUAAACUGUAUAUAUUGUUUUAUCUAUAGUGUCUGUAGGAGUGCAUUCUUUUAGAUUAAAGUAUUAUUUACAGUUUUGUGGGAUUGCCAGCAAAGCUGCUAAUCAAGAUACUAUUUUUUUGUAUCAAUGUCAAAUAAUAAAAAAAAUUAAGAACAAAGUCAAAUGAAACAUUGAAGGUGUCCUGUACAGCGUUCUUCUUCACUUCUCUCUAGAAAUGUAAAUGGUGUUAUCUGAAAACACAUUACCAGUGAAUAGGCUCCUUUGUUAUAAGGAAGAGUGUGUUAUAAGGAAGAGUG
This is an RNA transcript of Cuculus canorus (common cuckoo), 4083 nucleotides long. It is a transcript of the gene named beta-1,3-galactosyltransferase 1, with no coding region annotated. The record is from RefSeq and is a predicted model, not a curated record. NCBI's taxonomy places the organism in Eukaryota, Metazoa, Chordata, Aves, Cuculiformes, Cuculidae. The transcript has 6 exons.